AAACUUACCUGGCACAGGGGACAUCGAGAAGGCGGUUCCCCCAGGGCGAGGCUUUUCCAUUGCACUGCGGUUGAGCUGACCUCUGCGUUUACCACUAGUGUGGGUAAAUCGGGUGCAUAAUUUUUGGUAGUGGGGACAGCGCAGCGGCGCGCUGUCCCCU
Small nuclear RNA from Hyposmocoma kahamanoa, 160 nucleotides. RefSeq annotates it as U1 spliceosomal RNA. Lineage: Eukaryota; Metazoa; Arthropoda; Insecta; Lepidoptera; Cosmopterigidae. The record is from RefSeq and is a predicted model, not a curated record. The transcript has a single exon.